ACUUUUAAGACAUGGCAUGGAAAAUUACAGAGAUCAUGUCGCGUUAUCAAAUACCUGCACUUACAUGGUCUAUAGCACUCAAUAGACUUAUAUAUUAUAGAUCCAUAUAUGGCAAAAAUAUAUUUAGGCAUAAUCUUCGAAACAUGAUAAUUAAUAGCCAGCAAGAAAACACCCAUUCAUGGUAUAAAACGACAUAGCAGCAUAUAUAAGCAGUGGUGGACUGAGUUACAUAAUGAAAUCAUGGCAUAGGUGGACCAACAAUGCGGGGAAGAGCUACUGGCGAUGGGAAAAUGGACUAUGCGUCAGGGUCCAUGCUGCGAUGAACUUUGUCGAUGAACUCUUUAGCCUUCCUGUCUAUAUUUGGAUCAGCAUACCAGCAAUGGUUCUGGUCCUCGUCGCUCGGUCGAACCUUUCUUGGAUGCCUCGCUCCAUCUUCAACAUCUUGUCUCCGAUAGCUCUUCUUCUUGAAGCCAAGAAAGCCGAGCAAACAUUUCUUCCCUCUUCCCAUCUCUCGCUUCCUUGCUACUCUCUCUCUUUCUAACACUACUCAGCCUUUAAGACCACACAAGGACAUCUAUUUGCUCGUAAGAGGGUCAAGAAGUAACCCAGCAUUUAUAGCAGAAGCCCUCCCCUUGGUCUAAGAACAAGGGAAUAUUUCACCAACAUUCCAAAGGGUGAAAAAUUAGAGACUCCUCUGACGGUGCAUCAUACCGUACGCGAAGAUUCCAGAGGGUGAAAAAUUAGAGAAUCUGCA
RNAcentral lists this long non-coding RNA (754 nucleotides) under Elaeis guineensis (African oil palm). RNAcentral's name for it is "long non-coding RNA (EGUI_LNC003258)". Lineage: Eukaryota; Viridiplantae; Streptophyta; Magnoliopsida; Arecales; Arecaceae. The record is from RNAcentral.